GUUGAUAUAAACUACAAAGUCCAGAACCCACACGCAAACAGGACGGAAAUGACGUUUGCAAUUGUAGGCUGAAAAGGCCGCAGUGUAUGGUGGGAAUUGUAGUUCUCCGUAAGCGGCAGAAAAUGCGUCUUGCCGGCCCGCCGGAAACCUGGUUGUGAGAAAGACUUUUAAAAAUUUACUUUACUUUAAUCUAAAAUUAUUUCUCUGAAGUCGGCAAAAAAAAAAAAAAAGUAGACCUUAAUGUAUUCAUUUUUCUGAGAAAAUCUAAGAGCAGACACCUUUCUCGGAUUUCCUAGUUACAAGAACUAUGUUAAGGUACAAGCUCGUGAGAUAUCAUAAGGAGACAGCCUCGCUGACUUGGAAAUAGUCUGGACAGAGAUGAGAGGAAGUGGUGGCAUUGCUGCUGAAGCUACAGUGUCAUUCAACAACUUCCUCUCACCGUACUGCUUCCGCUGGAUGAAAGGCUGUUCAGUUCCCAGAAGAGAACAUCAUUUUUUAAUUCUGGGCCUGUUCACAAUCUAUUGCCUCUGUCUGGAACACUCUUCUCUCUCACUCCCCAAACCUUCAUUUAUCCUUUUUUAUUGAGGCUGUUCCUGACCCCUUAGCCUUGGCAUAUAAGAUCCUGUUGUGUGCUCCUAUGGGACUUCGUAUUACUCAGUAUUAAAAUAUACCACACUAGAUUGUAACUGCCUGAAUAUAUGUAUUUACCACUAGACAGGAGGCUCUGUGAAAGCAGAGACUGCAUCUUUUUUUGCUUUCCAUUUUCUAACCAACCAAAAGCUAGCACAUAGAGAUGCUCAAUAAAUAUGUAUUGAAUUAAUCA
Molecule: long non-coding RNA, 823 nt
Filed under: Sus scrofa (pig)
Lineage: Eukaryota; Metazoa; Chordata; Mammalia; Artiodactyla; Suidae
Description: lncRNA (ENSSSCG00060072111.1)
Source: RNAcentral